This 52-nucleotide transfer RNA is filed under the name Meloidogyne enterolobii. Its description in RNAcentral is "transfer RNA-his". Lineage: Eukaryota; Metazoa; Nematoda; Chromadorea; Rhabditida; Meloidogynidae. The record is from RNAcentral.
AGCUAUUAAUUUCAAUUGAAUUUUUUAAUAUGUUUAAAUAAAUUUUUAGUUA